Long non-coding RNA from Epinephelus lanceolatus (giant grouper), 525 nucleotides. RefSeq lists it as uncharacterized. The record is from RefSeq and is a predicted model, not a curated record. NCBI's taxonomy places the organism in Eukaryota, Metazoa, Chordata, Actinopteri, Perciformes, Serranidae.
GGCAAUACUGCUCUGGUUCCUCUUCCUAACCUCCAGAGUCUGGCGUCUGUGCAGUCUGGUGUGGCUGGUGUGCCUCCCGAGGCUUUUUGGUGUGUUAGUCCUGCUGUAAGCAUAAGUGUGGCUGUCUCUCCCUCCCUUGGCGUCUUGAGUGCAGACCGGAGUUAUGGUCUCCUGCUUCGAGUUUGUUACGCCACUCGGUGUUGAGUUGGUAGAGUGCGCAACGGCCGUGCGUCCUCCCCUCCUCUCCGCUUCACUGUUGGAAACCGCCCUCUGCCGGUGUUAUGUAUAUUUGAGUUCAUACUACUGUUGAUUUCAGCAUAAUUUCAAAUGGGUAAUGUUUGUUUUUUUAUGGUAUUUACAUUGCAGGCCCUUAAAGGCCAGGCUGUGUGCCAUGGUGUAGUGCCUCCUGUUUUUUUUUUACAAGCCAUCAGUCUCCACCUCCUGGCGCUUGCUGCUGUUCUGUCUUUAUUGUGGUAAAUCUCCAUAAAGGAUCCCUGUUAUUUAUAUCAUAAAUCAAUGACACUG